This 274-nucleotide ribosomal RNA is filed under the name uncultured bacterium. RNAcentral describes it as "partial 16S ribosomal RNA". It matches the Rfam family "Bacterial small subunit ribosomal RNA", at positions 523 to 796 of the family's 1533-position model. The record is from RNAcentral.
AUACGGAGGGUGCAAGCGUUAUUCGGAAUCACUGGGCGUAAAGGACGCGUAGGCGGGUUGGCAAGUCAGAUGUGAAAUCCUACAGCUUAACUGUAGAACUGCAUUUGAAACUGCUAACCUAGAGUAUGGGAGGGGGAGAUGGAAUUAGUGAUGUAGGGGUAAAAUCCGUAGAUAUCACUAGGAAUACCGAAAGCGAAGGCGAUCUCCUGGAACAUAACUGACGCUAAGGCGUGAAAGCGUGGGGAGCAAACAGGAUUAGAAACCCUAGUAGUCC